Molecule: ribosomal RNA, 497 nt
Filed under: uncultured bacterium
Lineage: Bacteria
Description: partial 16S ribosomal RNA
Rfam family: Bacterial small subunit ribosomal RNA
Source: RNAcentral
GACGAACGCCGGCGGCGUGCCUAAUACAUGCAAGUUGAGCGAUGAAGAUUGGUGCUUGCCCCAAUUUGAAGAGCAGCGAACGGGUGAGUAACGCGUGGGGAAUCUGCCUUUGAGCGGGGGACAACAUUUGGAAACGAAUGCUAAUACCGCAUAACAACUUUAAACAUAAGUUUUAAGUUUGAAAGAUGCAAUUGCAUCACUCAAAGAUGAUCCCGCGUUGUAUUAGCUAGUUGGUGAGGUAAAGGCUCACCAAGGCGAUGAUACAUAGCCGACCUGAGAGGGUGAUCGGCCACAUUGGGACUGAGACACGGCCCAAACUCCUACGGGAGGCAGCAGUAGGGAAUCUUCGGCAAUGGACGAAAGUCUGACCGAGCAACGCCGCGUGAGUGAAGAAGGUUUUCGGAUCGUAAAACUCUGUUGGUAGAGAAGAACGUUGGUGAGAGUGGAAAGCUCAUCAAGUGACGGUAACUACCCAGAAAGGGACGGCUAACUACGUG